CUUUUGUGGAAUUCUGACAAAUUCUCAAAGUUAUAUUGUUUGAUUUUAUAAUAUAUCUUGCUUGAAAAUAACUCCCUGUUGUAGAUCAUGAAAUUCAGUGGUCUAAUAACAAGAGAUGUUGUUUAAUAAUGAAUAAGUGUUUCUUAAGAAAACUUUUAAAGCCUUACUGGACUAUACCAUCUUUAUAGAUAGUUUUUAAAACAUAUUUAUUUUAUUUAGAAGGAAUGUGAAGAGAAAAAAUGAACAACAUGAGAUUUUAUUCUUGGAAUGUGAUAGUUUCACUUCUUUCACCUUUCUGAAUCUGGUUAAACACACCUGAAUUAGCAAAAAAGGCCAAAUUUAUCCAGUUUAUCUGAAUAAUUUAGCUGAAGUAACAUGACUGAUAUUUAAAAUAGUCCAAAAUCACUAGAUUAGACAUAACCUUUGAAGAUAAAGAUUAGAAACUGGUUUCCAUCUGAAUAUUUAACUUUUCUAGUUUAAGAAAUGAACUAAAAUUCUAUGCCUAUAGAAAUAGAGUUUUUACAGUUUUGACAACGUCAGGUAAAAAAAUAAGGAUAAAAAUAGAAAACGAUACUCAAAAUUUUCGCCUUUAUAUUCUUACAGGAUUUAUAUACUUCAGGUUGCUUUAUUUGGUAUAAUCUAAUUAUAUUACUUACGACUUACGCACAUUAAAAUCUUAGUAUAUAUUGCUUAAUCUUUUAGAAAAUUAGCUCAUAUAACUUCAUCCACAUGAAGUCCCCGAUAAGUUUCCUAAAGCACUUAUAAUUAAGUUAAAUAAGUUUCUUCUCUUAAAAUCAUAUGCUACAUCAACAUAGCAUAUGGUAGUAGUCUGCUCCUAUCACCAGAGAAGAGAGGUAAUGAGAAUUCCAAAGAGAUCCUUUCCUAUAAAUACAAGGUGGGGGGAACUAAACAAAACACAAAAGAACAUUUUACCAGAGAUCAAAAUCAAACAAGUCCUGUGAUAGAUUUUUAACUUCUUUGAAGGUAUGUCUGCAUAGAACUAAUUUCUAAAGUAGUCCUAAUCCAAACCAUAUUAGAAUCAAAAACUAAAGUUAGUCCCCAUUUUAUUGUUUGGAAAACUAGAGAAAAGAAGCAAAUGACUUGCUUUGGACCAAAGAUAUCGCUAGGAUGAAAACUUGGUUUUAUAACACAGCCUACACACAGACAAAGUUGUUAACUUGUUAACUAUUUAAGUCGUUAAUUAAUUAGUUGUGAAACUAGACACUAGUCUCUUGUCAGCUGCUAAAUGACUGAUACUUAUAUUCUUAUUAUGAAUUCUUCAUUUUUUGCCCAUUAAUUUUUAUUGUUUAUCUUUCUGAUAUAAUUGUCUAUCAUGUUAUAAUUCCAUGGAAUAGAUAUAAUCAAUAGCAUAAAUUUCUGCAGUAAAAGAUUCUAGCUAACCACUUAUGAAAUGCUACUGCUCUGUAGAUGUUAAUUAAUGAUGAGAACUGAGCAACAUUUUACAAAAUGAAAAUUGUAUUUAUCUUUUACCUUAAAAAUAAAUUUUAAAAGGAAACCAAGAGAAUUUAUCUGACUUCUUUUCCUGGCCUACAUUUUGUGAGCAUCCAUGAAACAUGUAUAACAAUAUUAUUAAAUACUUCGGAACCUACAUCUUUCAGUAUUCUUAUGGCCUUCACAAUUCCUUUGUCCCCUGAAAAAUGUAAAAAGUGAAAUGUUUUCUCUACCAAUUAUAGGAAUACUCAAGGAGGUCUGAAAUAACAUUGGAUGUACACUUGCAGCUAAAUGGGUUUUUUUAAUCUGUAGUGUUAUUUUGUAUUUUAUGUCAUAAAAACAAAGUAUAUUAGAGUAUUCUUUAAUGUUUUAAAAUAUAUAAUCCUAUACCUCCAAUUGAUUUUUUCCACUGAUUUUUGUAUAUUUUUGGACAGAUAAUCCCUUUUCUGCCAGUGAGUGACCUUGGGCAAGUCAGCCUCCUUCAAGUUCUGGUUUCCUCAUCUGAAAAAUGAAGUGCUUAGACUGCAUUAAUUCUGAAGUCCUUUGAGCUUUACAUGCAGCUUUGUGAUUAUAUAAAAUAAAUGUAAAAUCAAGCUUUAAUGUUAUUUGAAAUCAAUAAUGCUAAAUCUCCAACUUGAACAAAUAUGCAAAUUUUAAGAUUUGGAAUUUUUUAGAGUGUUAGUUGUCGUUAAUUGAAACUAUGGGAAAAAAUCCGUAAUUGCUGGUCAGAACUACAUUACUCAGUUAUUCUCAUAGGGAAAUAAGCACAGAGAUAAAUAUUCUUACACACAGCUACUUGUAGCAACAAAAAUGUAAAACUGGGGAUUAUUUGACCCAGUAUUGUGACUUUUAUAUAUGUGGGUGAAGGUCUAACACAAUUGGUAUAUCAUUAUACAAUGAUUGUUCUUCCAGGUCAGUUAGGUAAGUCAUAAACUGGCAGCUGGAACAUUCUUUCCCACUCAAGUGUACAUUAUCAGCAGCCCUGCCCCCAGCAUUGAUACUAUAUUAUCAGUUCAGCCAACUACCUCUGCUUCAUAAUUUUGGACAGAUGAUUUUUUUCUUCAUGGUAAUUCUCAUUGCCCCAAACUCAUAAUUCUUUCUUAAUGUCCUACUUUAAUAUUUAUGAGAUUUAGGGUCAGAAUGUUCUGUCUUAUACCCAACCAAAUUUUGACUUCCUCUUGCCUAGUUUUCUAUGGACAAAUGAUAAUUGUUCAGCAGUUCUCUAAAAGACUCCUUUAUGUUGUUACAACUACUGACACAUUCACUGAGUGCCACCUACAGGGGCAACAAAGAUGAAUUUGACUUUCUUUACCCACCAGCAUUUCCAGUUCCUUCCCAACAUGUAGUAACCAAAACAGGACACAGAAUUCUGUAACUUAACUAACGUAUUCAUCCAUGCAAUAAAUUUUUGUUGCAUAUCUACUACAUGCUAGGUACUGUUCUAGACAUUCAGUAUUUCCAGUAGAACAUUCUGUGAUGAUAGAAAUGUUCUAUGUCUGUUCUGUCCAACAUAGUUACCACUAGCCUCAUGUGGCUAUGGAAUCCUUUAAAUGUGGCUAGUGGGUCUGAGGAACAGAAUUUUUAAUUUUAAUUGAGUUUAAUUUAAAUAGCCACAUGUGGCUCUUAAGCUUUUACAUACUAAUGAGAGGAGACAAACAAAGAAAUAAAGAAAUAAUUUGAAAAAUAAACAGGAUAAUUUAAAGUAGUGUUAAGUGGAAAGAGGAAACUAAAACAGGGUGAUGUAACCACUAUUACAUCUUAGAGUCGGGGGAGGGGAGGGCAGGAAGGGAUGGUGAGGUACCACUUCAGAACAAGGGUGGUCAUCUCUGUGAAAUGACACUUGACCUGAGACCGAAUGAUGAGAAGACAGCAAUAUAAGGAACUGAGAGAAGAAUAUUCCCAGAAGGACCAGCAAAUGCAAAUGCCAUAUGGACGGCACAAGCUUAGUGUAUUAAGGAAAAGAAAGAAGGCCUGUAUCUGGAGCAAUCUGUGAAAGAGAGAAUAAGCCUGGAAAAUAAGGCAAGGGCUAGAUCACAGAGGCCACUGCUGACCAGAGUUAAGGGAAGUAGGAAACCACCACAGUGUUUUAAGCAAAAAAGUGACAUGAUGUGAUAAUAUGUUUUUAAAAGGUCGCUCUGAAUUCUCACUGGAGAAUAGAUUGAUUAUAGGUAGAUAGAUUGAUUAUAGGUAGAAAAAAGUUGAGGCAGGGGAACCAGGUAAGAAGCUAUUCCAUUUACCAGUUUGGUCUAGGAUGGUAGCAAUGAAAAAGGUGAACCAUGAAAGAAUUCCAGAUAUAGAGGAUUAAUAUAACAAACGUUACUUUCUAGGCAUAACAUGUCAUAAUCCCUUCACAUUUUAAUAUAAGUUUGCAUUUUUAUUUACAAUCCAACAUUGCUGACAGUUAUUCAACUGUAAUAAUCUUCCGUUUUGUUAUCCAUAUAAACAAAUGACUUUCAGAGCAUCAGUAUGGUUUGUCAAAGUUUGAUAAUUCAGAAAAAUGCACCAAUAAAGCCUAGAAAUGCUUGGUUUAAAAAAAAAGGUUUUCAUUUUUACCAUACUCUGCAAAUAAGAUUUAUCAUGUUAGAGUUAUGAGCUGAUUAUUUGAUGUCUGCAUCUCGAUAAAUUAUUCCUGGCUUUCUACUUAUGUGCAGUAUGUGUGGUUUAUUGCAGAGAGUAAAGCUGAGAAGAAUUCCAGUACACAUGUUCAUGCAGGGGCUAUACACAUGGCUAGUCAGUGUAUAUAAGGGUUUUUUUGUACCCGGUCCCUGGUGUCUUGGCAUUACUUUUAUUAUGUCUGCAGUACUCGUGUAGAUGAAAUGCCACAACACAUUCUUUUACUAUUGUAGCCUCAACCGGCCUUUUUUUUUUUUUUUUUUUUUAAAGAAAAAGCAAUUACCAUCAUAAAAAUUCCUUACUGGGGAACUUUCCAUGUUGCGUUAUCAUUCCAUGAGUCUAAUAAUAGUGGAAUAUAAAGAAAAAAAUUUUUAAUACUAAAAUAUCUGAAAAAGACUUUUGAGGCCUCUAUAAUGAGAAACACUAAAAGUCUGGAGUAGGAGAAAUAAGGAAAAGAAGUAAAGUCAAGAUUUUUAGACUCCUGGUACGUGUUAGCGAUUUAUAAAUCAUUGCCUCGACAAAGAUAAUUUGCAAAUCACAUGCACCUUCACCAAUUUCUAAACACAGUAAAGAACUCUCUCAGCCUGUUAUCUAUUGGGAGAAUGCUAAUGCCUAUAAUUGGUCAUUGCCUGACCCUUAUGUAUUUCUAUCCUGAUAGCUCUAUCUGCCUAAAAGCUAAUUCUGUGUUUUCUGUGAAAUCUUGCAGUGGUGUUAUCAGGGAGAUUGUGUUCCUUUUGGCACUUGGCCCCAGAGCAUAGAUGGGGGCUGGGGUCCCUGGUCACUAUGGGGAGAGUGCAGCAGGACCUGCGGGGGAGGCGUCUCCUCAUCCCUAAGACACUGUGACAGUCCAGCACCUUCAGGAGGUGGAAAAUAUUGCCUUGGGGAAAGGAAACGGUAUCGCUCCUGUAACACAGAUGUGGGGUAAAACCUUGUGCAUUAAACUGCCUGGCUGAAGGUUACAAUUUCUACACUGAACGUGCCCCUGCGGUGAUUGAUGGGACUCAGUGCAAUGCGGAUUCACUGGAUAUCUGUAUCAACGGAG
This is a non-coding RNA of Equus caballus (horse), 5107 nucleotides long. The record is from RefSeq and is a predicted model, not a curated record. Lineage: Eukaryota; Metazoa; Chordata; Mammalia; Perissodactyla; Equidae.